Molecule: ribosomal RNA, 425 nt
Filed under: uncultured bacterium
Lineage: Bacteria
Description: partial 16S ribosomal RNA
Rfam family: Bacterial small subunit ribosomal RNA
Source: RNAcentral
GUGGGGAAUAUUGGACAAUGGGCGCAAGCCUGAUCCAGCCAUGCCGCGUGAGUGAUGAAGGCCUUAGGGUUGUAAAGCUCUUUUGUCCGGGAAGAUAAUGACUGUACCGGAAGAAUAAGCCCCGGCUAACUUCGUGCCAGCAGCCGCGGUAAUACGAAGGGGGCUAGCGUUGCUCGGAAUCACUGGGCGUAAAGGGCGCGUAGGCGGACUCUUAAGUCGGGGGUGAAAGCCCAGGGCUCAACCCUGGAAUAGCCUUCGAUACUGAGAGUCUUGAGUUCGGAAGAGGUUGGUGGAAUUGCGAGUGUAGAGGUGAAAUUCGUAGAUAUUCGCAAGAACACCAGUGGCGAAGGCGGCCAACUGGUCCGAUACUGACGCUGAGGCGCGAAAGCGUGGGGAGCAAACAGGAUUAGAAACCCUAGUAGUCC